CCUGGAAACAUAUGUGUGUCCAUGGCAUGUGACCCACCAACCACCAUGUGCAAACCUCUGUCCUGGGUUGUAGACCUGGUAUAUGAAUCCAGGACCCAGAGAAGCCAUAUUCUUCAUACCUGUUCCGAAUGCCAUCUUUUUGCAAAUCCUAAAAUGGUGUCUUCAAGGAGGUUCAUGGAAAAGACUACAAGUAUUUUAAGUACACAUUUCUGACAACUUUGAGAACAUACAGAUGCACUAGGCUUUGACUAGAAAGACAUGUUUUAAGAUGUGAUCAUACUGCUUUGAAAGACUGGGACUGACUUUAUAACGCCAACAGACUUGGAAAAAGGCUGGCCAGGUACCUUGCCUACACAGCUCCCUUACAAAAUUCCUGACCUUGUUGUGAUAAGA
Callithrix jacchus (white-tufted-ear marmoset) is the source of this 393-nucleotide long non-coding RNA. RefSeq lists it as uncharacterized. The record is from RefSeq and is a predicted model, not a curated record. Lineage: Eukaryota; Metazoa; Chordata; Mammalia; Primates; Cebidae.